GAGUUUUUAGUCUACCAAAUCACCACACUACCCUGCCAUCAACUCUGCUACAAGGAAGCCCCCUUAAAUAGAGCAUACCACACUCCCAGCUAAUGUUUAUAAAACUAAAUAUAUAUAUAAAUAUAUAUAUAUUGCAAACACAGCCAUAGUUCUUCAUUUCUCUUACAAGGAAACCACAUUACUCCCUCACUUCUUCCUUUUUGCAACCAAGCUUUCUGCAAUCAAGUUGUUUCUCUUAUUUUCCUCAUUUAGAAGAAUAUCGUCCCUCCCUCCUAACCAAGGACCUAUCUUUUUGGAAGAUGAUUGGACUGGGUAAAAAAUGAGAUGGUCUAUACUAUCUGCUACAAAAAUUUUAUGUCACCUCAAGUAUUCUGGCUCAAGAUUCUUUUCCUUCUGUCUCAAUAUUUUCUUACAAUUUCAAUUGUAUACCUCUUUCAAAUUACCAUAUAUGGCACUAUAGAUUAGGCUAUUUAUCAUCUGCUAGAUUGAAUUGGUUACACAAUGUUGUACUCGUACUCAAAUCUGAUAAUAAUAAUCAUCUUUGUACCAUUUGUCUUCUGUCCAAAUAGCAAAAAUGAUCAUUUGUUCCUAAUCAAACAAUUUCUCAGCAUUGCUUUAAUCUUAUUCAUUGUGAUAUUUGGAGACCCUUAUUCAGAUGGUUCAAAAUAUUUCUUGACCAUAGUUAAUAAUUUCUUGAGAAGCACAUGGAUAUAUCUCAUGAAACAAAACUCUGAUACACCUUCCUUUUUAAUCUCUUUAUUUAAUAUGAUUCAUACUCAAUUCAAUUCUAAGAUUAAAUAAAUCAGAAUUGAUAAUGGUCCUGAGUUUAAUCUUUCUUCAUUUUUCCAAUUUAAAGGUGUGUUAUAUAAAAAAUCUUGUGUUGAAACUCUACAACAAAAUAGUGUUGUAGAAAGAAAACAUUGACACUUACUCAAUGGCUAGAGCCCUUAGGUUUCAAGCCAAUCUACCUCUAAUAUUCUAGGGUAAUUGUAUAUUGACUACUACUUACUUGAUUAAUCAUAUUCCUACUCCCUUACUUUUCAAUAAAUCACUCUAUGAAGUUCUUUUCUCUGUUCCUCCCAGCCAUAAUCAUUUGAGAGUAUUUGAGUGCCUUUGUUAUGCUUCCACAUUGACCCAUAACAGACACAUGUUUGAUUUUAGAGCUCGAGCAUGUGUUUUCAUAGGAUACUAUUUUGGUAUUAAAGUAUAAGUUUUAUGAUUUGGAAUCCUAUUCAAUAUUUCUCUCUCGAGAUGUGAUAUUUCAUGAAUAUGUGUUUCAUUUCUCUUCCACUUCUUCUUUACCUACUACCACUACUGAUUUGAUUUUCUUACUUCUCUUCCUACAUCUAUUUCUACUCCUACUCUUAGAAGAUCCUUGAAGAAUAUACAAUCAUCUACUUUCCUAUAGAAGUAUCAUUGCCAUCUUUUCUCAUCCUCUCCCAACUCCUCGGACAUUCCUUCUCAGCAGCAAGCAAUUUCUAUCUCUUAGUCUCUUUCUAAUUUUCUCCCAUAUGAUCGAUUCUCUCUUUCUCAUAAGUCCUUUAUUGCUGCCAUAUCUUCUCAAAGUGAACCUCAAUUCUUUUCUCAAGCUGUUAAAGAUUCAUGUUGGUGUGUGGCUAUGGAUCCGAAAUUCAUAUACUUGAGGCCAAUAAUACAUGGACUAUCACAAUUUUACCUACUGGUAAGACUCUCAUUGGCUAUAAAUGGGUAUAUCAUUUCAAAUAUUGUUCUGAUGGCUCCAUAGGUGGUACAAAGCUUGUUUAGUAGCCAAAGGCUACACUCAACAAUAGGGCCUAGACUACCUUAAAACAUUUUUCCUCGUCGCUAAAAUGCUUAGUGUGAGAUGUCUCUUAGCACUUGUUGCAAUUAAACAAUAGCAACUUGUUCAAUUAGAUGUCAAUAAUGUUUUCCUUCAUGGAGAUCUUCAUGAAAAAAUUUACAUGCAAAUUCCAUUAGUUUUGGUAAAAAAGGGGAGAAUAAAGUUUGCAAAAUUAACAAAUCCCUUUAUGGGCUAAAGCAAGCUCAAGGCAAUGGUUUGUAAAACUGUCAAAUUCUAAUUUUAGCAUUGGCUAUGUCAAAUCUGGGUCGGAUUAUUCAUUAUUUACUAAAAGUAGUGGUUCUUCUUUUAUUGCUCUUUUAGUCUAUGUUGAUGACAAUACAAUUGCAAGCAAUGAUGUUGAUAAUGUAAAUUCAUUGAAGGCUUUUCUUGAUGAUAAAUUUUGCAUCAAAGAUCUAGGUUCCCUUAAGUACUUCUUGGGACUGGAAGUUGCUAGAUCUUCUUGUGGUAUUUAUAUUUGUCAAAGAAAGUAUGCUCUUGACAAACUUACUGAUUCAAGCAUGCUUAGUGCUCGACCUACUUUCCCUCCCGUGGAUCAAAAAAUUGAAUUGACCAAAACUAAUGAUUCUCUUCUUGAUGAUCCUACUGUGUAUAGAAGAUUAGUUGUACGUCUUCUUUAUUUGACAAUUACCCGACCAGACCUUACUUAUUCUGCACAAGUUCUCAGCCAAUUCAUAGACCAUACUCGAAAGCCUCAUUUGGAUGCUGCCUACAAGGUGCUUCAAUACAUCUAAGGUACCAUAGUACAAGGUGUUUUCUAUUCUACUUCCUUUGAGCUUCAUGUUAAAGCUUUUUGUAAUUUAGAUUAGGCUGGUUGCCCAGAUUCCUGCAAGUAAUUGACCUGAUAUUGUGUCUUCAUUAGAGAUUCACUGAUUUAUUGGAAAUCUAAGAAGCAAACAACUAUAUCAAGAAGUUCUACAUAAUCUAAAUAUUGAGCCAUGACAACCACUUGCUGUGAAAUCAUAUGGUUGCUAUAUUUAUUCACUGAUCUUGGUAUUUCUCAUCCCCAACUAGCUUUACUUUUUUGUGACAAUCAAGUUGCAUUAUAUCUUGCUGCAAAUUUAGUAUUUCAUGAAAUAAUCAAGCACAUUGAAAUCAAUUGUCACUUGGUUCGGGAUAAGAUUUAAGAUAGGAUUGUUAAAAUGCUCCAUGUUUCUUCCAAGAACCAGCUUAGUAACAUUUUCAUCAAGCCCUUACAUAGAGACCUCUUCACUACCUUAUUAAACAAGAUGGACAUUCAUAAUUUGACAACUCCAUCUUGAGAGGGAGUAUUGGUUAAAGUAAUUUAAAUUAGUUAGUGUGUAUACACUGCCACGUGGCAAAUAGUUAUCUAAUUUAGUUGUGUACAACUGUGUAUAUAUAAGAACUGCUUGAUACCCAUAAUGAAAUCAUCAGAAAUUCAGUUUUUUUUUUCCUCUACUUUAUCUUUUUCUCUUUAUAAAAGCAUUGAAAUUCUUCAAAAUGAAAGGAUUUUUUUCAUAAGAAAAAUGCUAUUUGGAUUAUACACCAUGGUAAUUGGAUCUUUCCGUUAUUCAGUGAGUUUUAUCUUGAAUUAAAAUUCAUUUGAAAUAAGAGAUUUUUCCAAUAUGUCAAGUGUGGUCAUAUCCUCCCAUUUCAUUGCACAUUUUCGAUUUCAUUGCUUUGUUAGACAAAAUGAAGAGAUUUUUUUUUUUUUUUCAAUGGAACCUUAUGCACACCAAGUAUGGGCAUGAUUGGCUUUGUAUAUGUAGUCAUUAUUACUUUAAGCGGAGAAAGUAGAGGACAACAAUAGAUAAAAGGAUGAGAAAUUGGGGAUUAGAGAUUAAAAAAAAAGGCCAUGACAUGCUGCUAUUGAGGAGUAAUACAAUAACUUGGUAGACUAUUUACUCGAUGUAAAAGACCAUUGAUGUACCCUAUUGUGUGAACCAAGGCCUUCAAAACAAAAAGAUACCAUUGAUGCAAUUGUGGAGAGGGUAAAAAAGUCUCAGUCUGAAUAUUGUGAAAGGUAAAUUGGAGUCUAAUGAAAGAAUGUACAAUACCCAUUAGAGUCUAAUAGAGAUCUUCCUUGAAUUGAUUAUUCCAAUUUACUUUUAAAUUGACACAAAUCUGAGUAUGUGGAUGUAAUUAUGACAAUUGUUUAGCUUUGAUGGCUGCCAUGAGAUAAUUGUUUAGCUUUGUACAAAAUUUUUGUCUAGCUUUGAUAGUUGCCAAUUGUUUAGCUUUGACAGAAAUUGUAAGAGCAAUUAUGAACAAUUGUAUGGUUGUUUUUAAUUGUAUUGGAAUUGACCGCGCAGGGUUUGAAUACCCUUUAUGAACAUCACUUGUAUGAACUAUGAACAUCGGUUUCACGAAUUUAUUUGGUUAUUUGAUGUUCUUAUUAUGUGUUGCACAACAAAGUGCCUAAAAUGAAGAAAACAAAAUCUUGAUGAUAUUCACGAGAACAACAUCUACAAGGUGAUCGACACAGUAUUACACAAUCUUCAAAAGUAGAUCUUUUACAAAAUAUUUUUCAACAUCUUAUUCAUAGAGUAGAAGGUAAAUCACAAUCUUGAAUUACAACAUCUCAUUCACAAAAUUGAAGAGUGGAUCUUUUAAAAAAGUAAUACAAAAGUACACUAUAAGCCUAAUACAAUAUAAGCCUAAUCAAAUAAUUGUCUGAAACUAUUUAGUAUAAUAUAAGCCUAAUAUUCAACACUAGUGCUUUCUACAUUGAUAGAGAUAAUCAUGGAGGAAGACCUUCUUUACUGGAGCCACCAUUUGCUCCAAAAUGGUUGAAAAUGAACAAGUUAAUUAUAAUGAACAAUCCCCAACAUGUGCACAAAUAUAAUGGUGCCACCUAUUUUUCACCUCCUGUUUUCGAAGAUUAUCAUACUUAUUUUCAAUAUUGUCUGUCAUCUGUAUGAGUUUAUCCUUGUUGUUUUGAGCUUAUAGUUCUCUUUUUAAGACUUUAUCUCCCAUUUUCUAAACUUGAAACUCUCUCUUUAAGACUCCAUCCCCCCUUAGCUAAACAUAAAGCUCUCUUUCUAAGGUUUCUUUCAUAAAUAGUAUUUAUGAGUUCAACUUUUCUAUUGUUAGUAUCAUUUACCUACUUGAAAAACUGUAUUUCAAAACCCAUUGAAAGCAACAAUUUAGUUAAUAUUAAGAACCUAUUAAUAUAUUGACAUAUUCACACUUUUAUAUAUAAUAGUGUGAGAAAUUACCAUGUUAUAUUUUGGGCAAGUAAUAAAUUGUCACCCUGGAUUUUUUGUAUGUGUGAUAUUUGGAGUGGUACUCUCAAACCGCACCAACAUAGGGGUAAGUCCAGCCAAAUCCUAUUGAUAAUAGCAAAUGAUUAUGAAGAUGCCAUACUUAACUAAGACAACCACUAGACCUCUACAUGAUAUGGACCAAUUUUUUAUAAGAUGCCAAUUUGUUGAAAAUAGAUAGCACAUAGCAACUAUAGUUAGUAUUUUGGGUUUGUACAUAUAACCAUUACAUGUGGUCAGACUUAUAAUUUUUUGAACUUAAGCUAGUAUUCUGGGUCUAUACAGUUAGCUAUGGUCAGUAUUUAGUAUCUGUAAUGGUUUGUCAAUAUAAAUGGUUGUUAAUUGACAAACCAGUUUCUGUGAAUUACAUGCAAAAAUUACAACGUAUUUAACAUGAAGUAAAAAAAUCACAACUAACAUUCUUAUUACAGUAUAGCUAAUAUGAAGUCAAAUCAUCUCUAACACCCCCUGAAAAUUCAUAACUAACAUGAAGUUAGAUUAAGAAACAUCAUCUCUAACACCCUCGAAACAAAAACUAGCUCUAAAUCCCAAACCCAAUUCCCAAUCACAUGCAUGAUUUCAAACAAAAAAACAUAGAGACAAGCUAUGAGAGAGAGAGAGAGAGAGAGAGAGAGAGAGAGAGAGAGAGAGAGAGAGAGAGAGAGAGAGAGAGAGAGAGAGAGAUAGCGUGGUGAGAGA
Long non-coding RNA from Carya illinoinensis, 5760 nucleotides. RefSeq lists it as uncharacterized. Lineage: Eukaryota; Viridiplantae; Streptophyta; Magnoliopsida; Fagales; Juglandaceae. The record is from RefSeq and is a predicted model, not a curated record. The transcript is spliced from 2 exons.